This 771-nucleotide ribosomal RNA is filed under the name uncultured bacterium. RNAcentral describes it as "bacterial SSU rRNA". It matches the Rfam family "Bacterial small subunit ribosomal RNA", at positions 54 to 838 of the family's 1533-position model. The record is from RNAcentral.
CAUGCAAGUCGAACGAGAGAGAAGAAGCUUGCUUCUUCGAUCGAGUGGCGAACGGGUGAGUAACGCGUGAGGAACCUGCCUCAAAGAGGGGGACAACAGUUGGAAACGACUGCUAAUACCGCAUAAGCCCACGGGUCGGCAUCGAUCUGAGGGAAAAGGAGUGAUCCGCUUUGAGAUGGCCUCGCGUCCGAUUAGCUAGUUGGUGAGGUAACGGCCCACCAAGGCGACGAUCGGUAGCCGGACUGAGAGGUUGAACGGCCACAUUGGGACUGAGACACGGCCCAGACUCCUACGGGAGGCAGCAGUGGGGAAUAUUGCACAAUGGGGGAAACCCUGAUGCAGCGACGCCGCGUGGAGGAAGAAGGUCUUCGGAUUGUAAACUCCUGUUGUUGAGGAAGAUAAUGACGGUACUCAACAAGGAAGUGACGGCUAACUACGUGCCAGCAGCCGCGGUAAAACGUAGGUCACAAGCGUUGUCCGGAAUUACUGGGUGUAAAGGGAGCGCAGGCGGGAAGACAAGUUGGAAGUGAAAUCUAUGGGCUCAACCCAUAAACUGCUUUCAAAACUGUUUUUCUUGAGUAGUGCAGAGGUAGGCGGAAUUCCCGGUGUAGCGGUGGAAUGCGUAGAUAUCGGGAGGAACACCAGUGGCGAAGGCGGCCUACUGGGCACCAACUGACGCUGAGGCUCGAAAGUGUGGGUAGCAAACAGGAUUAGAUACCCUGGUAGUCCACACCGUAAACGAUGAUUACUAGGUGUUGGAGGAUUGACCCC